GACGAACGCUGGCGGCGUGCUUAACACAUGCAAGUCGAACGGAAAGGCCCUGCUUUUGUGGGGUGCUCGAGUGGCGAACGGGUGAGUAACACGUGAGUAACCUGCCCUUGACUUUGGGAUAACUUCAGGAAACUGGGGCUAAUACCGGAUAGGAGCUCCUGCUGCAUGGUGGGGGUUGGAAAGUUUCGGCGGUUGGGGAUGGACUCGCGGCUUAUCAGCUUGUUGGUGGGGUAGUGGCUUACCAAGGCUUUGACGGGUAACCGGCCUGAGAGGGUGACCGGCCACAUUGGGACUGAGAUACGGCCCAGACUCCUACGGGAGGCAGCAGUGGGGAAUAUUGCACAAUGGGCGGAAGCCUGAUGAAGCAACGCCGCGUGCGGGAUGACGGCCUUCGGGUUGUAAACCGCUUUCGCCUGUGACGAAGCGUGAGUGACGGUAAUGGGUAAAGAAGCACCGGCUAACUACGUG
Molecule: ribosomal RNA, 468 nt
Filed under: uncultured bacterium
Lineage: Bacteria
Description: partial 16S ribosomal RNA
Rfam family: Bacterial small subunit ribosomal RNA
Source: RNAcentral